GGGCGGAACCAGGAAAUAUCUUGUGUGAGGACGUGAACUUUCUUGGGGAAGAAAACACAUGCACAAAUCCUGGUGUAAGGAAUAUUUUAAGCAUAUAUCUUCAAUAUCAUUCAUCCAGGACCGAGCAAGACCAACACUCUUCCUCCUCCUCUGCCUACUCAAUGUGAAGACAAUGAGGAUGAACACCUUUAUGAUGCUCCACUUCCACUUAUUGAAUAGUGCUACACAUGAAACUUGUAACCAGUUACUACAGGCGAAAGCAAAUCCAUGUCUUCAGGCUGGUGUCAUCAGGGAGAGAAGCUUUGGUUUCCACAUAAGGAUAUAAGAUCAUUGAUGUAAAACAAGACAUGUAACCUCUCAAAUUGAGAGAAUGGAUUGGAGAGAUAUUGUUGACCAUGUUUUCCCCUGUAUCUCACCUUCCCCUCUCCAAGACUUCCUUGUCAGUUACCCAUAUUGAUAUCAGUUUAUCCACAUCCAUGCUUUCAAGUUUAAACAAAGAAACUAGGCAAAGGCAGCUAUGUAUUCGCUAGGAUUAGGGAGGAGAAGAUAAUGAACCACUGGAUAGUGAGAAGAAAGAGAGGUGGAGAAAGUGAGAGACCCCAGUAACAGAGGACAGGGACACAUUGCUAAGGAUAGGGACACAUUCACUGUAAUAUAGAAGGCCAUGCUUAUAUGUAAAAUAUGCAGUAAUUGUAUAUAUAUGUACAAAAGUGAUGACACACAUAUGCACAUAAACAAAACACAAUUACUGUCUAUGUUUCUUUAUUUGUGACCUAAUGUUUUAUGUUGUUUGUAACUGAAAAAAAAAUUCCCUUCUGAAUAAAAUGUCAAUUUUGCGAUUGCA
RNAcentral lists this long non-coding RNA (844 nucleotides) under Homo sapiens (human). RNAcentral describes it as "novel transcript". The record is from RNAcentral. Lineage: Eukaryota; Metazoa; Chordata; Mammalia; Primates; Hominidae.